RNAcentral lists this microRNA precursor (66 nucleotides) under Callorhinchus milii (elephant shark). RNAcentral describes it as "Cmi-Mir-129-P2_pre stem-loop". It matches the Rfam family "mir-129 microRNA precursor family", at positions 7 to 72 of the family's 75-position model. Rfam says of the family: The mature sequence is excised from the 5' arm of the hairpin. The record is from RNAcentral. Lineage: Eukaryota; Metazoa; Chordata; Chondrichthyes; Chimaeriformes; Callorhinchidae.
CUUUUUGCGGUCUGGGCUUGCUGUUCCUUUGUCCAACACUCAGGAAGCCCUUACCCCAAAAAGUAU